CUGCUGAAUUUUGUAUCAGAUUUAAAUUUAAAUAAUGGUCACAUACAUUUGCACAGAUACAGAUACACACAAUUUCAAUCAGUGAUACAGUAACUAAUACCCACAUCUACACCAACAUGUAGAUUAAUAUGUGUAACUACAUUACUAUAUUUUACUAUGAUACAUUAUGUUGCAUCAUAGCUCAUUAAAUGAUAGCACACAUUUCUCACAUGCAACAGUUGUUUCAUCAAGGCUGCUCUUAACUCUUGGUUCCUUAUACUAUAAAUAAUAGGAUUCAAUAAAGGCGUUACUACAAUGUACAAUAAUGAUAAAAACUUCUUAUUGAUCCAUGUCUUUCCUACAGAUGGAGUUACAUAAAUUGUUACCAG
Pelobates cultripes (western spadefoot toad) is the source of this 368-nucleotide non-coding RNA. Lineage: Eukaryota; Metazoa; Chordata; Amphibia; Anura; Pelobatidae. The record is from the annotation of a GenBank genome assembly.